Molecule: ribosomal RNA, 253 nt
Filed under: uncultured bacterium
Lineage: Bacteria
Description: partial 16S ribosomal RNA
Rfam family: Bacterial small subunit ribosomal RNA
Source: RNAcentral
UACGUAUGGUGCAAGCGUUAUCCGGAUUUACUGGGCGUAAAGGGAGCGCAGGCGGCGCGCCAAGUCUGAUGUGAAACCCCGGGGCUCAACCCCGGGCAUGCAUUGGAAACUGGCGGGCUGGAGUGCCGGAGAGGUAAGCGGAAUUCCUAGUGUAGCGGUGAAAUGCGUAGAUAUUAGGAGGAACACCAGUGGCGAAGGCGGCUUACUGGACAGUAACUGACGUUGAGGCUCGAAAGCGUGGGGAGCAAACAGG